Molecule: non-coding RNA, 45 nt
Filed under: Trichobilharzia regenti
Lineage: Eukaryota; Metazoa; Platyhelminthes; Trematoda; Strigeidida; Schistosomatidae
Source: RNAcentral
GUCCAGUUGACGAGUCCCAAAUAAGAUGAAAUGCGCAUCAUAGAU